UUUGUUUACAGUCCAAUUGCUUCCUUUAUUCACAAACUCUUCAAGUGCUUUGUUGACUGAUUGAAAUGCUUCAUUUAUAUUAUGAUCAUUGUUUCCAUUUGGUAAAGAAAUGUAGUAUUUACUUCUGAAAUGAGGGACAGUUUUGUCUUGUUCACCAUUAUCAACGUCCCUCAUCAUUUCUACUCUUCCAAUGACACUCCAUUUAAUACUAUGGUGUUUUUCACGUUGAAAUAUUAAUUCCUUUUCUACAUCAUCUUUUACAUUUGCUAAAAAUUGUAGAAGAUCAUAUUUUUCGUUGGCUGUUGGAAUAAUGUCAACCUGUUUUACUAAAUCUUUGAGUGCGCUUUUCUUAAAUUUAAAUCUUUUCUGCUCUUUUUUCUUCUGAUUCAUUUCAGGUUCUUGAACGCUGUUUCCUGAGAGCUGAGGAUUGCGACCUCCAGUUUGAUUUAAGGGAUGGUUAGCAGUAACAUGUUGGAAAAGACUAUCAUAGUCAUGAAAAGGUAUUCCACAAUGCUUACAGGUAUGUCCUAAUUCUUUUAUAUGUACAGUUGAAGCUACUUUACUUCUACUAGCAGACACAGGUUUAGUUUUUUCCAGUUUUUCACACUUUUCUUUAUGCCUAUUCAAAGUAGUUUUUCUAGUGUACGUUUUAUUACAUUUUUCUCACCUAAAAGUUGAAAAGUGACUAUGUAAGUGACGAUGUAGUGUUCUCUUAUGUUUGUACACUUUAUCACAGACAUCACAUAUGAAUGAGUUUUUUUCGGGUUUUUGUCUUUUCCUUUCAAUGUCUUCAUAGCGUUUUCGUUUACGUUUUCUUGAUUUAGAAUUAUAAUCUUGUUCGAUUUCAUCAGCAGCUUGCACUAACAAAUUCUCAUCACAGUCCCUGAACUCGGUACAAGUAUCAGCAAUUUGAUUUCUUAAUGUGUGAAGUUGGUUUUCUAAUCGUUUAUUUCCAUGCUGAUUACUUUUCAUAACAUAGUCUAUGAAUGCUUGAGCCAUGUUUUAUAGAUAAUUAUUCCACAACAUAUCAAUGUAAACUGAUUGAAUUUUAUGAUAAAGAUGUUCUUUAUAUAGCUGGAUUAACAUUAUAAUCUGAUGACAUCAUUAUUCGUUUUUCACAUGCUGGUGUAUAAAGUAUGGUGGCAUCUACCACACUAUACAUGGUUGAUGCAAUACGGAUCACUAUAUUGGAAAGGAUAACCACUUAUUCUUUAAGGUUUUGAAAGACAGACAACUAACACUGGUACUUGAUUUAGUUUAAGAGCUAUUUGACUGAGAUUGAAAUGUUGAAAGUUAAAUGGAUUGAGCUCAUAACUUCCAGCUGCAGCUUCAGCAUCAACAAAUCCGAUGACGACACGGGAACGUAAUGUGCUGCUUCUACAAUGGUCAACCAAUUUCCAACACUGUCUGCAGGCAAUCUCCGUAAAAGAGGUUUCUUUUCACCCUCAACUAUGGAUUCUCCACAUAUAUUUGAAUACAGAGGUUCAACCCACAGAUAUCGGGAAAAGAUGUCAAUGACAAACAGAAGAUAGUGCACACCUGUAUUUUCACUGGAUAUGUUAGAGACAUCAGCCAAAUCCACAUCAAAUUGAUCAUACAUUCCAGAAACAACGACCCGGGGUCUUUUGAAGUGCCGUCUAAGCUCUUUUCUCAAACUAUAACUAUCUUGAUUGUGAAGCCAUUUUCGAAUUUUGUGUUUUCCAAUAUUGGAUAUUCCUUUAGAUUUCAGAACUCUGUGAAGUUUAUCUGGACCUAAAUAUGAACCUGCUUUGGACAAGUGAUAAUAUGUUUUCUCAAGCAGUUUUUCUGUGCUCAUCUUGAAAGAAAAUCAUAGAAUAAAAGUCGAAAGGAGAUGAUGUGCUUAUAUAUUGUAAACAAAUAUAUUUGUAGUA
Long non-coding RNA from Mytilus californianus (California mussel), 1892 nucleotides. RefSeq lists it as uncharacterized. The record is from RefSeq and is a predicted model, not a curated record. NCBI's taxonomy places the organism in Eukaryota, Metazoa, Mollusca, Bivalvia, Mytilida, Mytilidae. The transcript has 5 exons.